This 253-nucleotide ribosomal RNA is filed under the name uncultured bacterium. Its description in RNAcentral is "partial 16S ribosomal RNA". It matches the Rfam family "Bacterial small subunit ribosomal RNA", at positions 524 to 776 of the family's 1533-position model. The record is from RNAcentral.
UACGUAGGGUGCAAGCGUUGUCCGGAAUUAUUGGGCGUAAAGAGCUCGUAGGCGGUUCGUCGCGUCGGCUGUGAAAACCCGGAGCUCAACUCCGGGCCUGCAGUCGAUACGGGCGGACUUGAGUGUUGCAGGGGAGACUGGAAUUCCUGGUGUGGCGGUGAAAUGCGCAGAUAUCAGGAGGAACACCGGUGGCGAAGGCGGGUCUCUGGGCAACUACUGACGCUGAGGAGCGAAAGCGUGGGGAGCGAACAGG